RNAcentral lists this ribosomal RNA (497 nucleotides) under uncultured bacterium. RNAcentral's name for it is "partial 16S ribosomal RNA". It matches the Rfam family "Bacterial small subunit ribosomal RNA", at positions 28 to 507 of the family's 1533-position model. The record is from RNAcentral.
GACGAACGCUGGCGGCGUGCCUAAUACAUGCAAGUAGAACGCUGAAGCUUGGUGCUUGCACCGAGCGGAUGAGUUGCGAACGGGUGAGAAACGCGUAGGUAACCUGCCUGGUAGCGGGGGAUAACUAUUGGAAACGAUAGCUAAUACCGCAUAACAGUAGAUAUCGCAUGAUAGCUACUUGAAAGGUGCAAAUGCACCACUACCAGAUGGACCUGCGUUGUAUUAGCUAGUUGGUGAGGUAACGGCUCACCAAGGCAACGAUACAUAGCCGACCUGAGAGGGUGAUCGGCCACACUGGGACUGAGACACGGCCCAGACUCCUACGGGAGGCAGCAGUAGGGAAUCUUCGGCAAUGGACGGAAGUCUGACCGAGCAACGCCGCGUGAGUGAAGAAGGUUUUCGGAUCGUAAAGCUCUGUUGUAAGAGAAGAACGAGUGUGAGAGUGGAAAGUUCACACUGUGACGGUAUCUUACCAGAAAGGGACGGCUAACUACGUG